GAUGCUCUCUUCAACCGCCACCGCCUCUCCUUCUACUACUCCUGCUGCUGCUGCUGCUGCGAGCCGCACUGCCGUGGCGCUCCCUACCGCCAAGACAUUUCAAAUGAGCAAAGCCGGAACACAACCGGCUGACGCGGCUCUACGGAGAGGACCGGAUCUGAGCUCCAGAGCGCACGUGAGAUGCACUUCAAAAAACACAGUGGACUGCGUGCAACUAAUUACCGAUUUACUUGUUUUUAUUUCGCUGGCUUGUAAGUCUUACUAAGUUACUGGCAGUCUUACAUUGCUCUUCGCAUGAUUUACAUAGCAUCAUAGCUGGAAUAUUUUACUGGAUCAAAUCACGAUUGGCAUCACAGACAACAUUUGCAUGAUUGGCUUUGUCCUUCGCUUGGCUCUUCAACUGCAGUGGCAGCACAAGAAAUGCUGCUGGGUGCACACGAACAAUCACUCCAACUCCUAACUGAACCAGCUGAUGAAGUACUGCAGAUCCUGCAACACUGCUGGGAAUUUCCUUACAACAGCAACCCACCUUUCCUGCAGCAUCUGGAGCGGCUCGCUUUU
Molecule: long non-coding RNA, 561 nt
Organism: Scleropages formosus (Asian bonytongue)
Lineage: Eukaryota; Metazoa; Chordata; Actinopteri; Osteoglossiformes; Osteoglossidae
Exons: 3
Source: RefSeq, a predicted model, not a curated record